RNAcentral lists this ribosomal RNA (440 nucleotides) under uncultured bacterium. Its description in RNAcentral is "partial 16S ribosomal RNA". It matches the Rfam family "Bacterial small subunit ribosomal RNA", at positions 338 to 795 of the family's 1533-position model. The record is from RNAcentral.
CCUACGGGAGGCAGCAGUGGGGAAUAUUGCACAAUGGGGGGAACCCUGAUGCAGCGACGCCGCGUGAGUGAAGGAGCAUUUCGGUAUGUAAAGCUCUAUCAGCCGGGAAGAAAAUGACGGUACCUGAUUAAGAAGCCCCUGCUAACUACGUGCCAGCCGCCGCGGUAAUACGUAGGGGGCAGGCGUUAUCCGGAUUUACGGGGUGUAAGGGGAGCGUAGACGGCAGGACAAGACUGGAGUGAAAGGCCGGGGCUUAACCGCGGAACUGCUUUGGAAACUGUGCAGCUAGAGUGCAGGUGUGGUAAGUGGAAUUCCUAGUGUAGCGGUGAAAUGCGUAGAUAUUAGGAGGAACACCAGUGGCGAAGGCGGCUUACUGGACUGUAACUGACGUUGAGGCUCGAAAGCGUGGGGAGCAAACAGGAUUAGAUACCCCUGUAGUC